RNAcentral lists this ribosomal RNA (554 nucleotides) under uncultured bacterium. Its description in RNAcentral is "bacterial SSU rRNA". It matches the Rfam family "Bacterial small subunit ribosomal RNA", at positions 567 to 1116 of the family's 1533-position model. The record is from RNAcentral.
GCGCGUAGGCGGCUCGUUAAGUGUGAAGCUAAAUCUCCAGGCUCAACCUGGAAACUAUUUCGCAUACUGGCGAGCUGGAGUAAUGCAGAGGUUUGUGGAAUUCCUGGUGUAGCGGUGAAAUGCGUUGAUAUCAGGAGGAACACCCAUGGCGAAGGCAGCAAACUGGGCAUUAACUGACGCUGAGGUGCGAAAGCGUGGGUAGCAAACAGGAUUAGAUACCCUGGUAGUCCACGCCCUAAACGAUGGAUACUAGGCGUAAGAGGUAUCGACCCCUCUUGUGCCGCAGCUAACGCAUUAAGUAUCCCGCCUGGGGAGUACGGCCGCAAGGUUGAAACUCAAAUGAAUUGACGGGGACCCGCACAAGCGGUGGAGCAUGUGGAUUAAUUCGAUACUAACCGAAGAACCUUACCCAGACUUGACAUCGAUCGCAAAGCCUAGAAAUAGGCUCCUCCCCCACAAGGGGACGUGAAGACACUUGUUGCAUGGCUGUCGUCAGCUCGUGCCGUGAGGUGUACGGUUAAGUCCGCCAACGAGCGCAACCCUCGUCCUGUGUU